UACGUAGGUGGCAAGCGUUGUCCGGAUUUAUUGGGUUUAAAGGGUGCGUAGGCGGCUUAUUAAGUCAGUGGUGAAAUACUCUAGCUCAACUAGAGGGGUGCCAUUGAUACUGAUGAGCUUGAGUACAGAUGAGGUAGGCGGAAUUGACGGUGUAGCGGUGAAAUGCUUAGAUAUCGUCAAGAACACCUAUAGCGAAGGCAGCUUACUAGGCUGUAACUGACGCUGAGGCACGAAAGCGUGGGGAGCAAACAGG
RNAcentral lists this ribosomal RNA (253 nucleotides) under uncultured bacterium. RNAcentral's name for it is "partial 16S ribosomal RNA". It matches the Rfam family "Bacterial small subunit ribosomal RNA", at positions 524 to 776 of the family's 1533-position model. The record is from RNAcentral.